GCAGGCUAAGGGCUUGAAUAUACGAAAACAUCGCAUUCGUAAUGCGAAGGUCGUAGGUUCGACUCCUAUUAUCGCACCA
This 79-nucleotide transfer RNA is filed under the name Pectobacterium carotovorum. Its description in RNAcentral is "tRNA-Thr". Lineage: Bacteria; Pseudomonadati; Pseudomonadota; Gammaproteobacteria; Enterobacterales; Pectobacteriaceae. The record is from RNAcentral.